AUUGAACGCUGGCGGAAUGCUUUACACAUGCAAGUCGAACGGUAGAGGGGGCAACCCCUCGAGAGUGGCGAACGGGUGAGUAAUAUAUCGGAACGUGCCCAGUCGUGGGGGAUAACGUAGCGAAAGUUACGCCAAUACCGAAUACGAUCUAAGGAUGAAAGCGGGGGAUCUCAAGACCUCGCGCGAUUGGAGCGGCCGAUAUCAGAUUAGGUAGUUGGUGGGGUAAAGGCUCACCAAGCCAACGAUCUGUAGCUGGUCUGAGAGGACGACCAGCCACACUGGAACUGAGACACGGUCCAGACUCCUACGGGAGGCAGCAGUGGGGAAUUUUGGACAAUGGACGCAAGUCUGAUCCAGCCAUUCCGCGUGCAGGAUGAAGGCCCUCGGGUUGUAAACUGCUUUUGUACGGAACGAAAAGGUCUCUCUUAAUACGGGGGACUCAUGACGGUACCGUAAGAAUAAGCACCGGCUAACUACGUGCCAGCCGCCGCCGUAA
RNAcentral lists this ribosomal RNA (496 nucleotides) under uncultured bacterium. RNAcentral describes it as "partial 16S ribosomal RNA". It matches the Rfam family "Bacterial small subunit ribosomal RNA", at positions 30 to 523 of the family's 1533-position model. The record is from RNAcentral.